Molecule: long non-coding RNA, 623 nt
Organism: Contarinia nasturtii (swede midge)
Lineage: Eukaryota; Metazoa; Arthropoda; Insecta; Diptera; Cecidomyiidae
Exons: 4
Source: RefSeq, a predicted model, not a curated record
CAGCGAGUUGGAUGUCAGUUUUAUUUUUCGGAUGGACAAUACCGCUUUUCAAGCAGAGUUAUCAGCGUGACGCGUUACAUCCAAAUGAUGUGUUUGAACCGCUCGAGGAAGAUCAAUCGGAUAGACUUGGUGAUCGACUGGAAACAAAUUGGAAGUCUGAACUGAAACUACAAUCAUCUCCAUCGUUACUAAGAUCAUUGUUUAAAACAUUCUAGUGCAAACUGCUAAUAAUGGGAGUUUUGUGCUUUUUAUCUCGAUGUGUAUGUAGCCAAAUAUAUCCAUUUUUAUUAAAGGGACUCUUGUCAUAUUUUCGGGACAAUUCUGAAGUAUCGUUUAAUGAAGCAAGAAAUUAUGGAGUUGGGCUUUUCACUCUUAACAUUUGCACUGGAAUCAUCUCAUUCCAAUAUGUGCUUAAAAUGUAUUACAAUGGUAUGAAAGUUCGCGUCGCCAUUAGUAGUGUUAUUUAUCGAAAGGUACUGCGUUUGUCACAGAGUGCUUUGAGCAAAACAUCUUCUGCGAAAUUGGUGAAUUUGCUCUCAAAUGAUGUUCAACGAUUUGAAUCUAUAUCCCAAAAUGGAUUGUGGGUACCACCGGCAGCAUCAAUUGUGGCAACAUAUAUUUUA